AGUGAACGCUGGCGGUAGGCCUAACACAUGCAAGUCGAACGGCAGCACAGUAAGAGCUUGCUCUUACGGGUGGCGAGUGGCGGACGGGUGAGGAAUACAUCGGAAUCUACUUUUUCGUGGGGGAUAACGUAGGGAAACUUACGCUAAUACCGCAUACGACCUACGGGUGAAAGCAGGGGAUCUUCGGACCUUGCGCGAUUGAAUGAGCCGAUGUCGGAUUAGCUAGUUGGCGGGGUAAAGGCCCACCAAGGCGACGAUCCGUAGCUGGUCUGAGAGGAUGAUAAGCCACACUGGAACUGAGACACGGUCAAGACUCCUAAGGGAGGCAGCAGUGGGGAAUAUUGGACAAUGGGCGCAAGCCUGAUCCAGCCAUACCGCGUGGGUGAAGAAGGCCUUCGGGUUGUAAAGCCCUUUUGUUGGGAAAGAAAAGCAGCAGGUUAAUACCACGCUGUUCUGACGGUACCCAAAGAAUAAGCACCGGCUAACUUCGUG
Molecule: ribosomal RNA, 492 nt
Filed under: uncultured bacterium
Lineage: Bacteria
Description: partial 16S ribosomal RNA
Rfam family: Bacterial small subunit ribosomal RNA
Source: RNAcentral